AUGGCUUUGUUUGAUCAUUUCCAUCAAGGAAAACUUGAUGUUAAAUGCCUUAAUUAUGGGAUCGUUACCCUUCUCCCGAAAGUGUCUAGUGCUAAGAGAAUCCAGCAGUUCAGGCCUAUAUGUCUCCUUAGAUGUCCUUACAAACUCAUCACUAAGGUGCUCGAUCGCAGAGUUGCUGUGUAUGCUGAUAAACUAAUUAUUCUCACUCAAAAUGCUUUUGUGAAAGGAAGAAAUAUCAUGGAUGGAGUGCUUUCUCUCCAUGAGAUACUCAACUACACGCAUGUAAAGAAAAGAGUGGGGGUUGUUCUUAAACUAGAUUUUGAAAAGGCAUACGACGAAGUUAACUAG
This 348-nucleotide ribosomal RNA is filed under the name Triticum aestivum (bread wheat). Its description in RNAcentral is "partial small subunit ribosomal RNA". The record is from RNAcentral. Lineage: Eukaryota; Viridiplantae; Streptophyta; Magnoliopsida; Poales; Poaceae.